GGAGAGAUGACCGAGUGGUUUAAGGCGUAGCAUUGGAAUUGCUAUGUAGGCUUUUGUUUACCAAGGGUUCGAAUCCCUCUCUUUCUG
Molecule: transfer RNA, 87 nt
Filed under: Nicotiana sylvestris (wood tobacco)
Lineage: Eukaryota; Viridiplantae; Streptophyta; Magnoliopsida; Solanales; Solanaceae
Also listed under: 1 other name
Rfam family: tRNA
About the family: Transfer RNA (tRNA) molecules are approximately 80 nucleotides in length. Their secondary structure includes four short double-helical elements and three loops (D, anti-codon, and T loops).
Source: Rfam by way of RNAcentral